This 245-nucleotide ribosomal RNA is filed under the name uncultured Eubacteriales bacterium. RNAcentral describes it as "uncultured Clostridiales bacterium partial 16S ribosomal RNA". It matches the Rfam family "Bacterial small subunit ribosomal RNA", at positions 524 to 768 of the family's 1533-position model. Lineage: Bacteria; Bacillati; Bacillota; Clostridia; Eubacteriales. The record is from RNAcentral.
UACAUAGGUGGCAAGCGUUGUCCGGAAUAACUGGGCGUAAAGAGAGCGUAGGCGGUGAAUCAAGUUGAUUGUGAAAUCCCGUGGCUUAACCACGGAACUGCAGUCAAAACUGGUCCACUAGAGUUCGGAAGAGGAAGGUGGAAUUCCUAGUGUAGCGGUGGAAUGCGUAGAUAUUAGGAGGAACAUCAGAGGCGAAGGCGGCCUUCUGGGACGAAACUGACGCUGAGGCUCGAAAGUAUGGGGAG